CAAACAUGUCGUCAAAUCGUC
This 21-nucleotide unclassified non-coding RNA is filed under the name Dictyostelium discoideum. The record is from RNAcentral. Lineage: Eukaryota; Evosea; Eumycetozoa; Dictyosteliales; Dictyosteliaceae.